Molecule: long non-coding RNA, 607 nt
Filed under: Equus caballus (horse)
Lineage: Eukaryota; Metazoa; Chordata; Mammalia; Perissodactyla; Equidae
Description: lncRNA (ENSECAG00000041375.2)
Source: RNAcentral
AGUCGGAGUCUGGGAGGAGAGGGGACGUUUCCUAUCGAUCAACAUCCGCAGACAGAGUGGAUCUACUUUGGCCAUGAGGGUGAGGACCAUGCAUCCACCUUGUAGGAUUGCUCACUCAGUUCUUGCUGCUCUCUUACCAAAAGAGCACCGGUCCUUCUGGCGGAGUGGCGCUGAGUGACGCGGCGAUUAGGGAUCUCACGGACGGGGGAGGGAGGGGAAGCUCGACGCCUUUUCCUUCGAGGCCCAUGCUGGCCGCAGACAUGCUUCUGUGGAGGAUGCUGAUAAAAAGCAAAUUAUUUUAUUCUGUUCACAAUCAGUUCCAACCUCAGCCUGCAGAGUCCCCCAAGAAAUAAGGUAUUAACUCUAUCGUAUGGAGGUGAAUUCUUGGAGGAAAAGCCAUCCCUAAACAGACGGAGAAGUCGUUUUUAAAGCAUUAAAAUCCGGCGGUGUGUGUCCCGCUCAUCCUUCUUCUUAACGAGCCAUGCGCUGUCUUGACGGAUUUGAUGUGAGAAACGAAUUCAAAUCACAUGUCGUUGGCAAGGAAAGGGUUGCCCCCGGGGGCUCUUGUACCAAGAAGGGGAAUUUUCGUGAUGGGCCCUCAGGCUGU